UGGCGGCGUGCCUAUUACAUGCAAGUCGAGCGAACUGAUUAGAAGCUUGCUUCUAUGACGUUAGCGGCGGACGGGUGAGUAACACGUGGGCAACCUGCCUGUAAGACUGGGAUAACUCCGGGAAACCGGAGCUAAUACCGGAUAACAUUUUUUCUUGCAUAAGAGAAAAUUGAAAGAUGGUUUCGGCUAUCACUUACAGAUGGGCCCGCGGUGCAUUAGCUAGUUGGUGAGGUAACGGCUCACCAAGGCAACGAUGCAUAGCCGACCUGAGAGGGUGAUCGGCCACACUGGGACUGAGACACGGCCCAGACUCCUACGGGAGGCAGCAGUAGGGAAUCUUCCGCAAUGGACGAAAGUCUGACGGAGCAACGCCGCGUGAGUGAUGAAGGCUUUCGGGUCGUAAAACUCUGUUGUUAGGGAAGAACAAGUACAAGAGUAACUGCUUGUACCUUGACGGUACCUAACCAGAAAGCCACGGCUAACUACGUGCCAGCAGCCGCGGUAAUACGUAGGUGGCAAGCGUU
Molecule: ribosomal RNA, 524 nt
Filed under: Priestia flexa
Lineage: Bacteria; Bacillati; Bacillota; Bacilli; Caryophanales; Bacillaceae
Description: bacterial SSU rRNA
Rfam family: Bacterial small subunit ribosomal RNA
Source: RNAcentral